AUUGAACGCUGGCGGCAGGCCUAACACAUGCAAGUCGAGCGGAUGAGAGGAGCUUGCUCCUCGAUUCAGCGGCGGACGGGUGAGUAAUGCCUAGGAAUCUGCCUAGUAGUGGGGGACAACGUUUCGAAAGGAACGCUAAUACCGCAUACGUCCUACGGGAGAAAGUGGGGGAUCUUCGGACCUCACGCUAUUAGAUGAGCCUAGGUCGGAUUAGCUAGUUGGUAGGGUAACGGACUACCAAGGCGACGAUCCGUAACUGGUCUGAGAGGAUGGUCAGUCACACUGGAACUGAGACACGGACCAGACGCCUACGGGAGGCAGCAGUGGGGAAUAUUGGACAGUGGGCGAAUGCCUGAUCCAGCGAUGCCGCGUGUGUGAAGAAGGCCCUCGGGUCGUAAAGCACUUUAAGUUGGGAGGAAGGGCUUACAGCGAAUACCUGUGAGUUUUGACGUUACCGACAGAAUAAGCACCGGCUAACUUCGUGCCAGCCGCCGCCGUAA
Molecule: ribosomal RNA, 500 nt
Filed under: uncultured bacterium
Lineage: Bacteria
Description: partial 16S ribosomal RNA
Rfam family: Bacterial small subunit ribosomal RNA
Source: RNAcentral